This 329-nucleotide unclassified non-coding RNA is filed under the name soil metagenome. RNAcentral's name for it is "partial contains 5.8S ribosomal RNA, internal transcribed spacer 2, and large subunit ribosomal RNA". The stretch from base 1 to 120 matches the Rfam family "5.8S ribosomal RNA", at positions 35 to 154 of the family's 154-position model. The record is from RNAcentral.
GAUGAAGAACGUAGCGAAAUGCGAUAACUAAUGUGAAUUGCAGAAUUCCGUGAAUCAUCGAAUCUUUGAACGCACAUUGCGCCCCCUGGUAUUCCGGGGGGCAUGCCUGUCCGAGCGUCAUUACAACCCUCAAGCUCAGCUUGGUGUUGGGCCCCGCCGCCCCGGCGGGCCCUAAAGUCAGUGGCGGUGCCGUCCGGCUCCGAGCGUAGUAAUUCUUCUCGCUCUGGAGGUCCGGUCGUGUGCUCGCCAGCAACCCCCAAUUUUUUUCAGGUUGACCUCGGAUCAGGUAGGGAUACCCGCUGAACUUAAGCAUAUCAAUAAGCGGAGGA